GGAGUGCGAACCCAGGGGAUGGGGUAGGAGGAGCCUUGCUCUGCUCCUCUGCCUGUCCCCCAACCCCCAGCGUUCAGGACAAAGUCCAGCCCCUGGCCUGGCCAACUCUCCCGCCUUAGGCCUCCUCCCUCUGAACCGCAGGCCCAGAGUGUCAGCCUCACCCCGGCACCCGCCCCAUCCCUAAAGCAAUUGCUAUUUCAGGUCCCUGCGCCGCUGAACAAGCUGUUCCGCCACCUGGAAUAACCCCUUCUGUAUCUGCCCAGAGAACUCCUAUUCAUCGCUUGGAGCUGCCCUGCGCCUUCAGACAAGGGGUGAAGCGCCCAACGUGGGUCCACUGAACCGAGACUGGCCGGAGACCCCCACCCCGAGGCCCGGAGACCCUGAGUCCCGAGAGCCCGGCUCCCAUCCGCGGCAGGGGGAUGGUGUGUGCCAGUGCCUGGGCUUGGGACGGCAGUGGAGCUGCAGGACACAAAUGCCACUGUUGCUGCUGACACCCACCCCUGGAGCUGUGAGCCGAGAGCUUUAUGCUCAUCUCUUCUUGAGCAAUGUG
Fukomys damarensis (Damara mole-rat) is the source of this 550-nucleotide long non-coding RNA. RefSeq lists it as uncharacterized. NCBI's taxonomy places the organism in Eukaryota, Metazoa, Chordata, Mammalia, Rodentia, Bathyergidae. The record is from RefSeq and is a predicted model, not a curated record. The transcript is spliced from 3 exons.